Molecule: ribosomal RNA, 292 nt
Filed under: uncultured bacterium
Lineage: Bacteria
Description: partial 16S ribosomal RNA
Rfam family: Bacterial small subunit ribosomal RNA
Source: RNAcentral
GUGCCAGCCGCCGCGGUAAUACGGAGGGUGCAAGCGUUGUUCGGAAUUAUUGGGCGUAAAGGGCGCGCAGGCGGUCUGUUAAGUCCGAUGUGAAAGCCCCGGGCUCAACCCGGGAAGUGCAUUGGAAACUGGCAGACUUGAGUACGGGAGAGGGAAGUGGAAUUCCGCAUGUAGGGGUGAAAUCCGUAGAUAUGCGGAGGAACACCGGUGGCGAAGGCGGCUUCCUGGACCGAUACUGACGCUGAGGCGCGAAAGCGUGGGGAGCAAACAGGAUUAGAUACCCUCGUAGUCC